This 329-nucleotide long non-coding RNA is filed under the name Elaeis guineensis (African oil palm). Its description in RNAcentral is "long non-coding RNA (EGUI_LNC030605)". Lineage: Eukaryota; Viridiplantae; Streptophyta; Magnoliopsida; Arecales; Arecaceae. The record is from RNAcentral.
ACCGGUGACAGUGUCCGCACCACAAUUAUGACAAAUAUUUCCUUUGAGUUGUCAUUUAUUUUGCUUUCUAAUUCCUAUGAAUGAAUUAAUCUUAGCCUGAUUUGAUAAACUUAUUUACCCAAGAAAAGUUCAAACAUAAAAAUAGGCCUAAGCAAAAUCUCCAUGGGCCAAGCACCACAUCUGAACGCCUAAUUCCUGGUUGCAAUUUCUUGAAGACCUACCACAUAAAGUUAGAGAGAAGAAGGGACACAUUUUGUUUCCCUUGCUAUAUUCAAAUCCAGCAUCAUAUUUUAGCAGCGUAUGAUGCUCAUGGAUCCUCUAUGGUGCCC